UGUCGGGAGUUUGUUGUUGACUCGGUGGGUUUACGGAUCAUGGGAUCAGGGUGUUGGUUCUUUUCGGGCAGUAGGUAGAUGAUAUGGAGAUGCUUGGAGUAUGCUGCUGGCCGGUCCCCUUUCCCACGUCAUAUCCGAGGACCUUUAUCGGUUUUGUUUCUCUUUUCCUACACUUCGUAUUUGUUGGGUUUAGAGUUGUGAGAACGAAUUGUGUUUUUGAUACAUGUAUUGUGGACUUGUAUCUGUGAUGUGUUUCGUGGACUUUUGUAUUUGUGGGUUUCCUCUUCGCCUU
Zingiber officinale is the source of this 292-nucleotide long non-coding RNA. RefSeq lists it as uncharacterized. The transcript has 2 exons. The record is from RefSeq and is a predicted model, not a curated record. Lineage: Eukaryota; Viridiplantae; Streptophyta; Magnoliopsida; Zingiberales; Zingiberaceae.